GACGAACGCUGGCGGCGUGCCUAACACAUGCAAGUCGAACGGAAAGGCCCGGCUUUUGUGGGUUGCUCGAGUGCCGAACGGGUGUGUAACACAUGAGUAACCUGCCCCUAUCUUUGGGAUAACUUUAGGAAACUGGGGCUAAUACCGCAUAGGAGCUCCUGCUGCAUGGUGGGGGAUGGAAAGUUUCGGCGGUUGGGGAUCGACUCGCGGCUUAUGAGCUUGUUGGUGGGGUAGUGGCUGACCAAGCCUUAGACGGGUAGCCGGCCUGAGAGGGGGAACGGCGACAAUAGGACUGAGAGAGGCAGCAGUAUCGUACGGGAGGCAGCAGGGGAGAGUAUUGCAGAAUGGGCGGGAGCCUGAGGCGGCGACGCCGCGAGCGGGAUAACCGGCUACGGGUUGUAAACAGCUUUGGCCGGAGACGAAGCGUGAGUGACGGUAAUGGGUAAGGAAGCACCGGCUAACUACGUG
Molecule: ribosomal RNA, 468 nt
Filed under: uncultured bacterium
Lineage: Bacteria
Description: partial 16S ribosomal RNA
Rfam family: Bacterial small subunit ribosomal RNA
Source: RNAcentral